Molecule: transfer RNA, 74 nt
Filed under: Actinomycetota bacterium
Lineage: Bacteria; Bacillati; Actinomycetota
Also listed under: 1 other name
Description: Actinobacteria bacterium (freshwater metagenome) tRNA-Met
Rfam family: tRNA
About the family: Transfer RNA (tRNA) molecules are approximately 80 nucleotides in length. Their secondary structure includes four short double-helical elements and three loops (D, anti-codon, and T loops).
Source: RNAcentral
GGGCCGGUAGCUCAGCUGGUCAGAGCAGCGGACUCAUAAUCCGUAGGUCGGUGGUUCGAGUCCACCCCGGCCCA